RNAcentral lists this ribosomal RNA (681 nucleotides) under Bacillus spizizenii. RNAcentral's name for it is "bacterial SSU rRNA". It matches the Rfam family "Bacterial small subunit ribosomal RNA", at positions 67 to 730 of the family's 1533-position model. The record is from RNAcentral. Lineage: Bacteria; Bacillati; Bacillota; Bacilli; Caryophanales; Bacillaceae.
CGGACAGAUGGGAGCUUGCUCCCUGAUGUUAGCGGCGGACGGGUGAGUAACACGUGGGUAACCUGCCUGUAAGACUGGGAUAACUCCGGGAAACCGGGGCUAAUACCGGAUGCUUGUUUGAACCGCAUGGUUCAAACAUAAAAGGUGGCUUCGGCUACCACUUACAGAUGGACCCGCGGCGCAUUAGCUAGUUGGUGAGGUAAUGGCUCACCAAGGCAACGAUGCGUAGCCGACCUGAGAGGGUGAUCGGCCACACUGGGACUGAGACACGGCCCAGACUCCUACGGGAGGCAGCAGUAGGGAAUCUUCCGCAAUGGACGAAAGUCUGACGGAGCAACGCCGCGUGAGUGAUGAAGGUUUUCGGAUCGUAAAGCUCUGUUGUUAGGGAAGAACAAGUACCGUUCGAAUAGGGCGGUACCUUGACGGUACCUAACCAGAAAGCCACGGCUAACUACGUGCCAGCAGCCGCGGUAAUACGUAGGUGGCAAGCGUUGUCCGGAAUUAUUGGGCGUAAAGGGCUCGCAGGCGGUUUCUUAAGUCUGAUGUGAAAGCCCCCGGCUCAACCGGGGAGGGUCAUUGGAAACUGGGGAACUUGAGUGCAGAAGAGGAGAGUGGAAUUCCACGUGUAGCGGUGAAAUGCGUAGAGAUGUGGAGGAACACCAGUGGCGAAGGCGACUCUCU